AAAAAUCAUGGCAAAAGGAAAUUUGUCCUGACCCUGGCGCUGCAGUCCACCGUCCACGCUUCCAAAGCACAUGCAUCAGGGCCUCCAUUGCCUUGUAAAAGUCUGCCUUCCAAUUUCCAAACCCUAAUAUGCAGAGUCAAUGUACCUGGACCCAACCCAGAAUGCCUACACCACUCUGCUUUAAAUCCUCUACUUUAUUAACCUUUUCAAUUUCAAAGCAUUUGCACACCAAAUCCUUUGAUUCCCUUGCCUCUCGAAAGGGAAUCUCCUAUUACCCUUUCCUCAUGGCCACCUUAUCGACUCCUUCCACCACCGAGAAAGAUGCCGUUUCCUUUCAGAGCGAGUCGACCCAGAAGACCCAGCAGCCAUUACAGGUGGCAAAACGCUUGGAGAGGUUCAAAACUACAAUCUUCACGCAAAUGAGUUCACUUGCAAUCAAACAUGGGGCAAUAAAUCUUGGUCAAGGGUUUCCUAACUUUGAUGGUCCAGAGUUUGUUAAAGAAGCAGCUAUUCAGGCCAUAAGGGAUGGAAAAAAUCAAUAUGCUCGUGGUUAUGGGGUUCCAGAGUUCAACUCUGCAAUUGCUGGCCGGUUCAAGAAAGAUACUGGGCUUGUGGUGGACCCUGAAAAAGAAGUUACCGUUACCUCUGGGUGCACAGAAGCCAUUGCUGCAACUAUGCUAGGCUUGAUAAAUCCUGGUGAUGAAGUGAUCCUAUUUGCUCCUUUCUAUGAUUCUUAUGAAGCCACACUGUCUAUGGCCGGUGCCAAAAUAAAAUGCAUUACUUUGCGACCGCCAGAUUUUGCUGUUCCCAUCAAUGAGCUUACGUCCGCCAUAUCAAAGAAUACUCGUGCAAUUCUUAUCAACACACCACAUAACCCCACUGGGAAGAUGUUUACUAGGGAUGAACUCAACACUAUUGCAUCACUUUGUAUUGAGAAUGAUGUUCUGGUCUUUACAGAUGAAGUUUAUGAUAAAUUGGCCUUUGAAAUGGAUCACAUAUCUAUGGCCUCUCUUCCUGGAAUGUAUGAGCGGACAGUAACUAUGAAUUCCUUAGGGAAGACAUUCUCCUUAACAGGGUGGAAGAUUGGCUGGGCAAUUGCUCCUCCACACCUGACAUGGGGAGUGCGGCAGGCACACGCCUUCCUAACUUUUGCUACCUCCACUCCAAUGCAAUGGGCGGCUUCAGUGGCCCUUAGAGCCCCAGAUUCUUACUAUGUAGAGCUAAAAAGGGACUAUAUGGCAAAGAAGGCAAUUUUAGUGGAGGGAUUGAAGGCUGUUGGUUUCAAAGUAUUCCCAUCAAGUGGGACUUACUUUGUUGUUGUUGAUCACACCCCUUUCGGCCUAGAAAAUGAUAUUGCAUUUUGUGAGUAUUUGAUCAAGGAAGUUGGAGUGGUAGCAAUCCCAACCAGUGUAUUUUAUUUGAACCCAGAAGAUGGUAAGAAUUUGGUGAGAUUCACCUUCUGCAAAGAUGAGGAAACUCUGAGGACUGCAGUUGAGAGGAUGAAAGAGAAGCUGAAGAGAAAUUGAUCCUGUUUAUGUGGGUCUAGUUCUCCAAACUCAGACAUAUCAUGGGGUGAAAUAUUGGUGUUUGUAAUGUUAAUCAUUCCCUUAUGAAGGUAAGUAGUAUCGUUCUGUGAUAACUUGGAGGCUAUAAACUAGUGAAUUUACAGCAUUUGUUGGAAUAAACAGAUUAACCAUGCUUUUGAAAAAGACAUGUCUUGGUCAAUACCUCCUAGUUUACGAAAAUCAGUUAAUUUGACCUUUGGUAAUUGUUUCUGAUGUAGCGUUCAAAUAUUUUGGCUAGUUCUGAGUUGGCAUAUGUAAAGGAUUCUAUGCUGCUUGCAUGUAUGGUCAGAAAAAUUCAUUGGUGUUCCUUUUGAUCAGUAUCAUUUUGUCCUUUUU
This 1901-nucleotide unclassified non-coding RNA is filed under the name Hevea brasiliensis (rubber tree). Lineage: Eukaryota; Viridiplantae; Streptophyta; Magnoliopsida; Malpighiales; Euphorbiaceae. The record is from RNAcentral.